ACUAACUGAGACGAAGGAUACGACUCAGGGUCAGGGACGACCGGCCAUUGCAAGGAAGCUGCUGACAGGAUGUUGGAAUGGCUAGACAAAAAACCCGCUUCGGCGGGUUUUUU
This 113-nucleotide small RNA is filed under the name Pseudomonas rhizosphaerae. Lineage: Bacteria; Pseudomonadati; Pseudomonadota; Gammaproteobacteria; Pseudomonadales; Pseudomonadaceae. The record is from RNAcentral.